Molecule: ribosomal RNA, 497 nt
Filed under: uncultured bacterium
Lineage: Bacteria
Description: partial 16S ribosomal RNA
Rfam family: Bacterial small subunit ribosomal RNA
Source: RNAcentral
GAUGAACGCUGGCGGCGUGCCUAAUACAUGCAAGUCGAGCGAACAGAUGAGGAGCUUGCUCCUCUGACGUUAGCGGCGGACGGGUGAGUAACACGUGGAUAACCUACCUAUAAGACUGGGAUAACUUCGGGAAACCGGAGCUAAUACCGGAUAAUAUAUUUAACGGCAUGGUUCAAUAGUGAAAGACGGUUUUGCUGUCCCUUAUAGAGUGAUCCGCGGCGCAUUAGCUAGUUGGUAAGGUAACGGCUUAGCAAGGCAACGAUGCGUAGCCGACCUGAGAGGAUGAGCGGCCACCCUGGAACUGUGACACGGCACAGAGUCAUACGGGAGGCAGCAGUAGGGAAUCUUCCGCAAUGGGCGAAAGCCUGACGGAGCAACGCCGCGUGAGUGAUGAAGGUCUUCGGAUCGUAAAACUCUGUUAUUAGGGAAGAACAAUUGUGUAAGUAACUAUGCACGUCUUGACGGUACCUAAUCAGAAAGCCACGGCUAACUACGUG